AUUGAGCUGAUGAGUCCCAAAUAGGACGAAACGUGCGUCCUGGAU
This 45-nucleotide non-coding RNA is filed under the name Schistosoma mattheei. Lineage: Eukaryota; Metazoa; Platyhelminthes; Trematoda; Strigeidida; Schistosomatidae. The record is from RNAcentral.